Apis laboriosa (Himalayan honeybee) is the source of this 448-nucleotide long non-coding RNA. RefSeq lists it as uncharacterized. The record is from RefSeq and is a predicted model, not a curated record. NCBI's taxonomy places the organism in Eukaryota, Metazoa, Arthropoda, Insecta, Hymenoptera, Apidae. The transcript is spliced from 2 exons.
GGAUGAUUUACAAAAUGAAAUACAGGUGCAGCCAAUGUUCCAGCAACAAAAGAUAAUUGAAUAGCAGUAUUGAUUUUACUUAUGGAUGUUGGAGCUAAUUGUGCUGUUGCAUAUGUAGGAUUAAAAUAUCUUGCAAAAGUUUUCUGAAAUAUAUUUUAUAAAUAAACAAUCACUUAUACAAAUACUUAUAUAUAAUUUAGUAAUAUAUACAUACUGGAGAAGGAAUAGGAACCAAUCCUACCCAGGCCAAAGAUAGGAAUAGUGUACCUACAAGUAAUUUAUCUGCAACUGGAUCUAGAAAAGUACCAAGUUUAGAAGCUUGUGAUGACCAUGUACGUGCAAUCCAUCCAUCAGCUAGGUCACUAAAUCCUGCAAAUACUAAUAACCACAAUGCUAUCUGUAACAAACAAAUCAUAAAUAUCAAAAAUAAUAAACAUAUAUUCACAUA